Molecule: ribosomal RNA, 408 nt
Filed under: uncultured bacterium
Lineage: Bacteria
Description: partial 16S ribosomal RNA
Rfam family: Bacterial small subunit ribosomal RNA
Source: RNAcentral
GACGAACGCUGGCGGCGUGCUUAACACAUGCAAGUCGAACGAAGUGGCGAACGGGUGAGUAACGCGUAAUCAACCUGCCCUUCAGGGGGAGAUAACAGUUGGGAACGACUGCUAAUAACACAAACUGAAGUAGGGGCUUGCGUGUGCUUAGCUAGUUGGAGGGGAAACGGCCAACCAAGGCGAAGGUCAGUAGCCGGACCGAGAGGAUGAAAGGCCACAUUGGUACUGGGACCAGGCCCAAACUCCUACGGGAGGCAGCAUGUGGGAAUCGUCCGGAAUGGACGAAAGUCUGACGGAGCAACGCCGGGUGAGUGAUGACGGCUUUCGGGUUGUAAAGCUCUGUUAAUCGGGACGCGGUACCGGAAUAGAAAGCCACGGCUAACUACGUGCCAGCAGCCGCGGUAAUUC